UACGUAGGGUGCAAGCGUUGUCCGGAAUUAUUGGGCGUAAAGAGCGCGCAGGCGGUCGUUCAAGUCGCGUGUGAAAGCCCCCGGCUCAACUGGGGAGGGUCACGCGAUACUGAUCGACUGGAAGGCAGGAGAGGGUAGUGGAAUUCCCGGUGUAGUGGUGAAAUGCGUAGAUAUCGGGAGGAACACCAGUGGCGAAGGCGACUACCUGGCCUGUUCUUGACGCUGAGGCGCGAAAGCUAGGGGAGCAAACGGG
RNAcentral lists this ribosomal RNA (253 nucleotides) under uncultured bacterium. RNAcentral describes it as "partial 16S ribosomal RNA". It matches the Rfam family "Bacterial small subunit ribosomal RNA", at positions 524 to 776 of the family's 1533-position model. The record is from RNAcentral.